This 254-nucleotide ribosomal RNA is filed under the name uncultured bacterium. RNAcentral describes it as "partial 16S ribosomal RNA". It matches the Rfam family "Bacterial small subunit ribosomal RNA", at positions 524 to 776 of the family's 1533-position model. The record is from RNAcentral.
UACGGGGGGGGCAAGCGUUGUUCGGAAUUACUGGGCGUAAAGGGCGCGUAGGCGGCUCGCUAAGUCGGAUGUGAAAACUCUGGGCUCAACCCAGAGCCUGCAUUCGAAACUGACGAGCUGGAGUUCUGGAGGGGAAAGCGGAAUUCCUGGUGUAGCGGUGAAAUGCGUAGAUAUCAGGAGGAACACCGGUGGCGAAGGCGGAUCUCUGGGCCUUACCUGACGCUCAGGCGCGAAAGCCUAGGGGAGCGAACUGG